Molecule: ribosomal RNA, 700 nt
Filed under: uncultured bacterium
Lineage: Bacteria
Description: bacterial SSU rRNA
Rfam family: Bacterial small subunit ribosomal RNA
Source: RNAcentral
UCGAACGGCAGCGCGAGGAAGCUUGCUUCCUUGGCGGCGAGUGGCGGACGGGUGAGUAAUGCAUAGGAAUCUGCCUUAAAGUGGGGGAUAACCCGGGGAAACCCGGGCUAAUACCGCAUAAUCUCUACGGAGCAAAGCCGGGGACCUUCGGGCCUGGCGCUAUAAGAUGAGCCUAUGUCGGAUUAGCUAGUUGGUAGGGUAAAGGCCUACCAAGGCAACGAUCCGUAGCUGGUCUGAGAGGAUGGCCAGCCACACUGGGACUGAGACACGGCCCAGACUCCUACGGGAGGCAGCAGUGGGGAAUAUUGGACAAUGGGCGCAAGCCUGAUCCAGCAAUGCCGCGUGUGUGAAGAAGGCCUUCGGGUUGUAAAGCACUUUCAGCAGGGAGGAAAGCCUUAGGGUUAAUAACCCUGAGGGGUGACGUUACCUGCAGAAGAAGCACCGGCUAACUCUGUGCCAGCAGCCGCGGUAAUACAGAGGGUGCAAGCGUUAAUCGGAAUUACUGGGCGUAAAGCGCUCGUAGGCGGAUUCUUAAGUCGAUUGUGAAAGCCCUGGGCUUAACCUGGGAGCUGCAGUCGAUACUGGGUAUCUAGAGUAUGGUAGAGGAUAGUGGAAUUCCCGGUGUAGCAGUGAAAUGCGUAGAUAUCGGGAGGAACACCAGUGGCGAAGGCGACUUUCUGGACCAAUACUGACGCUGAGG